UACGUAGGGGGCUAGCGUUGUCCGGAAUCAUUGGGCGUAAAGCGCGUGUAGGCGGUCCGGUAAGUCCGCUGUGAAAGUCGGGGGCUCAACCCUCGAACGCCGGUGGAUACUGUCGAGCUUGAGUACGGAAGAGGCGAGUGGAAUUCCUGGUGUAGCGGUGAAAUGCGCAGAUAUCAGGAGGAACACCAAUUGCGAAGGCAGCUCGCUGGGACGUUACUGACGCUGAGACGCGAAAGCGUGGGGAGCAAACAGG
RNAcentral lists this ribosomal RNA (253 nucleotides) under uncultured bacterium. RNAcentral's name for it is "partial 16S ribosomal RNA". It matches the Rfam family "Bacterial small subunit ribosomal RNA", at positions 524 to 776 of the family's 1533-position model. The record is from RNAcentral.